CAGAGCGAGACUCCGUCUCAAAAAAAAAAAAAAAAAAAAACCCUCUAAAUUUAACUUAGUUGCAUGAAAAGAAAGGGGUUUCUGAAGACAAUGGAACACAUAUUUUCCAUGGCCCUUUAAGUUAUCUAAAACCUUUAGAUAUUUUAUGGCAGCACCCACAGCUUUAAACAUACCCUAAUACACACACAAACUCUAUCGAUAACAUGGGCAUGAGCACUGGACCUAUGUCCAAAUGACUUAGAAAAAUUCAGUAAAGAACAACUUUGUUCUGGACUGAAAAGGGUUAUAUGCAUCUUCCCUAAAUUGAGUAAAUUACCAGCUAUUUGGAAAGUACAAUGUACUGGCUUUUAUUCAAAAGAGCAACAUUUAAUGCUGGCAACACUGCCAAAUUCCUCCUUUCCUCUAUUCUCCUUUUCUUAGAGAAAGUGAUUAAGAGACCAAUUCCCAUGCCAGCUGAAUGCUUAUAAGAGCAUCAAAGGUCCUCUGUCAGAAUUCAGAACCUGAUAUGGCUUAGAAACUGCUACACCAAUAGAUAACAUCCUCAACAUUAUAAAUCAAAGCCAUAUGACCACAUUAAAAUUCCAUCAGCUAGUAUCAAUACACUGUGGUUUAUAAAGUACUGUUGACCUACCUCUAGGAGAUGGUUAAAAUGAUAUAAAAGUUAUGCUCUGGUUUGGGGCGUGUAGCUACUUUUUACAAUUGAGUUACUCAUCCAUAGCAACAGCAAAUUCUUUCUACCUCUGUAUCCUUAUUGAUUUUGUUUAAUUAAAGCUUUAGGAGAAAGGAAGAGAAGGUUCCAUAAGUCGAGGCAGAAACAGAAAUAAAUGUUAGAAGGUCACAAUAGACAUUUUGCUAUUUUGAACUGUUCCUGUUAUCUCUUAAUUAUAAUUGUCAAGGGCAAAAGCCUUCCUAUAUAAUUUAAAAUCUGGGAUCUUCUUAAAAUUGUAACGACAUUUCAAAAUCUUAAAACAACUAGGUCAUUGCAUUUCAAACUUUUCUGCUUAAACCUACAGUAAGAAUACCCUUGAAAUCUUAACAUAGCACAUACACACACACAUGCAAGUACACACAAAAUAGAAGUUAAUCAAAGAAUACUUUACCUUUAUUAUAUAAAAUGCCUUAUAUUUUAGUACAUUUUAUUUAAUAACACCUUUAGCAAAAAGUACAUUUUCUUCAAAGUAGACUGUGUCCUGUAAUUUAAAGAAUUUAAAGAAUAUUUCCAAUGUAUAUCUCUUAAACCGCUAAGACUUCUGCAGGAAUUAUUUAAGGCAGGGACCGUUGAUAUAUGGAUUAAAAAAAAAAUAAAUACAUUCAUUUCUUCACUUACCCUUCCAUUGAUUCAUUAAUUCAAAAAUUAGUGGAUAUUGGCCUGAUACAUGAAAGCUUCUGUGCUAAGGCCCUAGGGAUAGUUGAAUGAACAUUUUACCACUACAAACCCACGUGUUUUUCUUUUUUUUUUUUUUUUGUUUCCAGAAUUUGGCUUUAUUUUGCAGUACAGAAAUCAUUUGGAGCCAUUUUGAGACAGAAGUAGAGGCUCUGUCAAGUCACUACUGCAUUGCAGCUUGAUCCACUGAAGAAGCCACGCCUGAGAUACAAAAGAUGCGCCACACUUUAACUGCUUUACGUUCACUUCCGCUCCGCUCUUCUCUCAUCAACUUUAUUAGGUUAAAACACCACAUACAGGCUUUCUCCAAAUGACUCCCUAUUGUCUGGUGUUUGGUUAGAAUUUUAUGCCCACAUAAACCAAACUUGUGGCUAUGCUAUUUGGGCCCUGCCAUAACAUUUGACAUAAUACAAAAUAUAAAGUCAUGGGGAAAACUUCUGGAUGCCGUGCCAGACCAUGGAAUAUUCAAUUUAGAAUCUCCUGAACCUCAAGAGGAAAGAUGGCACACAACCUGUAUGGAUCCAGCUCUUGAGCAGCAGAAGCACAUAGCUACACUGAUUAAAAGAUAAACUGUCUCAAGUUGUCUAUGUCGGUAUCCCAAUGUUUGUUUAAAACUGAUCCAAUUAAACUUUACAGUGAGUCUUUGGCAAGAUAUGGCAAAAGCCUAUACCUUUAUCCACUCUGUGGCCUUGGAGAACUGCCCCAAGGAUUUGCAAGGCUAAGUGCUAUUUAUGGAGGUACCUAAAUGCUGAAUAAACCCAUUGAAGGAAUCAUUGUGCAGAAUGGAAAAGUAAUUGGUGUAAAAUCUGAAGGAGAAAUUGCUCGCUGUAAGCAGCUCAUCUGUGACCCCAGCUAUGUAAAAGAUCGGAUAGAAAAAGUGGGCCAGGUCAUCAGAGUUAUUUGCAUCCUCAGCCACCCCAUCAAGAACACCAAUGGUGCCAACUCCUGCCAGAUCACUAUUCCACAGAACCAAGUCAGUCGAAAGUCAGGUAUCUACGUCUGCAUGAUCUCCUUUGCGCACAAGGUAGCAGCACAAGGGAAGUACAUUGCCAUGGUUAAGCACAACCGUGAAAACCAAGGAGCCUGAGAAGGAAAUCAGACCAGCUUUGGAGUUCUUGGAACCAAUUGAACACAAAUGUGUUAGCAUCAGUGACCUCCUGGUACCAAAAGACUUGGGAACAGAAAGCCAGAUCUUUAUUUCCCGCACAUACGAUGCCACCCACGUGUUUUUCUAAUCGAAACUAAAAUGACAAAGAAAAACAGAAAAUACAUCUUCGCAAAAUAUCAAAAAAUUUCUAUUAUUUACUCA
This is an RNA transcript of Nomascus leucogenys (northern white-cheeked gibbon), 2693 nucleotides long. It is a transcript of the gene named rab GDP dissociation inhibitor beta pseudogene, with no coding region annotated. The record is from RefSeq and is a predicted model, not a curated record. The transcript has a single exon. Lineage: Eukaryota; Metazoa; Chordata; Mammalia; Primates; Hylobatidae.